CCAAUCCUAGAUCCUGUUCUAGGAGACGGAUAUCAGAAUAAAAUCGUAGAUCCGGAAAGUCAAAACCUUGUAUCGACAAAAAAAGACAUUAUGCGCAUUUCGACAAAUAAUGUCUCUUCAGUGAUGCUCAAGCCAAAUUUUUGAAAAUUCGAAAUAACAAUAAACUUUUAAGAUAGAGACGGAGAGCAACCACGUGAUCAGUAAAAAUCAUGUAUUUUCACGUGAAUUUAUUUUUCGGAAUUCCGUACACCGUCAUAGAGUAAAUGAAGAACUAAAAGGGGUUCCGAAAGUGCAAGUUGUUGCUGUGACUGACGAUUGAGGGGGUCGUCUCGUCGUAAGAUGGAGAAAUUUGGCCAUAGUUAGAUUAUGAAAACGUACAACGUAAUAAUAAUGGACCAAAAGUUUCAUCCGUGCAGAAUGGCACUUUUUAACUCACGAAAUUCACCACCAUGCAUAGCUGCGCUACGUAAACAAAGUUGUUGAUGUAGCAUGAUCGUGAUGUCCGAGUGCUGCGAGUUUCAAUACUGUUUAUGCAGUCAUUGAGGGUUUAAACAAAGUUUCGAUGGAUGCAUUCAACGUGGACAACAAAAUCAUCAUUUCGUUUGCACCAUCCUAAGGACCAGUGCAAGUUGAAAUGGGCUUCGAGCCAACAAGUUCAACAGCCUUGAAAAUCAGCAAGAAAGGGACAAUAUUUUCUUAGUUUGAAAAAUCCAUAUACAUGGAUUUCUUUGGGAAGUACAUACACUUUGUGCAGUAAAACUCUACCUAACAUGAAUAAAUAUGUAUUUAACUGAGUCAUUUAAAAAAGAGGGUGUGUCCAGGGUCCGUGUUUGCCCAACUAUCUAUUUUGUAUUGCUUGUAGGUGUUAUGAGAUUGAUCACUGUUCGUUAUCUUCACCUUGCAUCCAACGAAUUGGACUAUAUGAUGUAUGGAGAUGUACAUUAUAUAUUGUAAACAGUGUACUGUAAAUCUUUGUACAAGUGAUUAAGAACAAUUCUUUGUAAGGACCAAAAUAUUACGGCACGCACUGAAAAUUUUUUCCACUAUAAAUGUCAUCAUUCAAUUGAAAUACAUAAACCCUUUAAAAGAUAUUGCUACACUUAUUCUGAAAAGUGACUCGUUUCCAUAGCAACUGGCUACUUAUAUAGAAAAAACAGGAAAAUUAGAGUUUUGGGAAUUUUUCACUUGAAUUUAUUAUAUCACGAAUAAUUGAUAAGGAAUGUUAUGCUACAUGCUGAGACAAAGUAGUAACAAUAUUUAUCAGUAUGUAAAUCUGGAAAUGGUAUAAUUAUUGUAGCACAGCUCAUAAUUCAGGCUCAAAUGACCAAAAUUUAGCAGUUUUACUUUGUACUUUAACCAACUCCUGAGCAAAAAGCCAGCCAUAUGAAAGAUAAUAAAAUAUAAAUUUAAGAAGAAGGUAAAUAAAUUAUAUAAUGCAGGUAAAAAAAUCAAUGGGCAAAUAACAUUUUAUAAUAGAAAUUUGGCAUGGAAAAUAUGAAUUUGUUGAAUUUUGCACAUUGAGUUAUCUCCCUUUGCGUAAUUUCUAAUGUAGGAGAUAAUAAGUAGUGGUAUUGUUAACAGGAGGGAAAGGAAAGAAAAGCAGAAAACAUAUGUUUUAGGUUAUUUUAAACAUCUUUGACCAUUACUAUAUAUGUACUGGAUGUAUUCAAGUGUGAAGGAGUUGAUAAAUACACACUGUGUGUAGUGAAGAGGGUUUCCUGAAAGAAUUAACUUCAUUGAAUAUGAAUUCAAAGCACAGCUUGUGUCUACAUGCAUAUAUAUGCACCCGAUUUACGCUGUUAUAUGGUUCGUUUUGCAUUUUCCCAUUUAUUGACGGACGCUCGCAACCGACAUGUUUAUUCAGCAAACAUUGCUACUGCGAAAAAAGUGUAUUCAUGCCAGUUGGAGAACACAAGUUUACGAUCCGUGUUGGAAAAUAGAUAUUCUAGAGUAUUUAUCGAAUUCAAGUGACAACAAUGAUAAGGUUACAUCAGUUAAUGUCGACUAGCCAGAUAUACAUAACCAGGAUGCACAGUCAAAAGGAAUCCAGAGUAUUCAGAUUUGUCAAGUCAGUUUGGAUUAACCCCAGUUUGAUGAUUUUAUCAAGGCUUAAUUUUUUUUUUCAACUUUUGUCAGUGUACAUCAAUGCUUUACAGUAGCAUUAUGAAGCGAAACAAUUUGAACUUUCAUUAUAUGAUCAUUGAGCAGAAGACAAUCUUACAAACUUAACUUGUAUUCGUCUUUUGUAAAAUCACUGGAUAAGUAUUUCAAAUAAAUUUUCCCGGGGUGAUGUUACGUAUAACAUAUCAAGAGGGAAAGAAGGCGAAAGUUAGAUCCCAAACACACAUACUCAUGUACAGUUCCUGUAUUUUCAUGUUAACGGAGGCUGCAUUAGGACCUGACCCAAGAACAUAUGGUCAAGUUUAAGGUUUUUAUAUCACACAGCUCCGACGGAAGACCUUUCGUUGCUUUGCAACGAGCUUUGCUAUGGUUUAUCUAAUUAUGAUUAUAUUUCAAGGAGAAAUUUACUGUCAUUUUUCGUAAGUAAUACUAGGAAUUAUUGACAAUUUUAGGUAUGAAUUUUAGCUGAUCUUUUCUAGGAAAGUUAUGAUAUAUAGAAAAAACAUUUAUGUAAUGUCUAUGAAAAUUUCGUUUUUGUUAAAUUACCCUAUUUAUAUACAUGUGCCUAUUGUAACCUUGACCUUUGGCAUGAAGGACCUUAAAAAAACUAAUUUUAUUUCUUCUGAAAACAUAUGUUCCCUUUGAUCAAGAUGUAAUCAGUAAUAAGAAAGUUAUGUUUAUCUUUUUAAAAAAUGAUAGUUUCGCAGAGGAAAUUCAGACUUGAUUUUUGAAUGCAUUUGUAAUUUAUUUUGGUAUUUCGUUUGGGUUUUUUUUUUUUUUUUGUUUUUUUUUGGGGGGGGGGGGGGGGGAGGGGGGUUGUUACUUAAUUUAAAUUUUGAAAAAAAAUAGAGAUAAUGAAAUAUGAUGAAAAAUUGCUAUAAUUUAAGAUGGCAUGGGACGUUUUUAGUCAGCUGAAAAUUACUACAAGGCUGUGUUAUAUAUUUGAAAAAGAAAUUCGGAUUAAGGUCUUUUAAUUAGUAGUCAAUCAUUUUGAUAAGAUAGUGUUGUAUUUAUGUUCAUAAUAAAAAUGUAUUCAAACUUUAAUAAAGAAGGAAAUUUGAAUUUUAUUCAUGUUUUGUAUAUUUAUAGAAUUUUCGUACAUGGUUUGCCCACUGAUUUUAUUCCAUAAUAUGCAAUACUUAGGUUAGUUCUAUGCAAUUAUAAUAUUCAUAUUGCUGUAAGGUGCUGGCUUUUCCUGUGAAUAGGUGGUGAACAACAAUUUUCAUCAAUUUCUGUGCACUUGACAGUGAACCGUUCAGAUGUGUUUCCAUGGCAACGUUAGCAAAUUCGUUGUUAGCGAUAAAACUACAACUUAUGUGGAUUUUCAGCUAUUUAUAUGUUAAUUUACCUAUACUGAUUUCAAAGAUAGAGAAGAGUUGCUGCUAGUUUAGUUAUUGGGCUUGUAAAAAUGCAAGUUUUUACAAUUAUAGCUAUGAAUUAGAGUACUCCCAAAUGGUCAAAAUCCACUACCAUGGUUUCCAUGGCAACCAUACAUCACAAUACUAAAUCAUGUUUGAUUUCUGUCAUUUUGUGGGGUACUUUCUUUAAUCUGUAAGUUUUAUGAAAAUCUGAGACCAUGUGUGCCGGACCCCUUCAGAUUUUUUUUUGGUCGUUACAGAGAAUUGCUCUUAAUAUGUUGGUUUUAAACCAAACUGAAACUUCUAUUAUUUUCAGGAUCAAUUUCUGUCACUAUCAGAAGAUGAACGGUUUCACAGUUAGACAUUGGAUUCUCCUCAUCUGCUCCAUUUCUGUCAUCUCAGCAGCAGAGUUCUUUGGAGUGGAUGAGGAAUACUACAUGUGUUUUCCCAGAUCACUCGGUCAGUUGUAUUGGAUGUACGAACCGGGUAUGGGCACACAUCAUUAACAUUCGGGAUGAGCAACAUACUUGUGGAAAAAUGCCAUGGCCAGUAUGGGUGGCGGUGCAGUAUACAAGGAAUUUAUUCACUGAAAUCCCAAGAAGAUUCCAUGACUUGCUUGCCAUACAACAAACAACAGAUUAUGGACAUGAUUCUUAGAAUUAGAACUUGAAUGGGUCAGACUUGACUACAGUCAUGUAGCAAUAUUAAAGUUGUUGUACUUCAGGAAAAGGUGAAACGUAUUUGUUGGAAGAUGGAUAAAGAAAAAUUGGAGCAUGCACUAGACUUCUUAAAAUCCUGGUUUUUUUAUCAGGUAACAUGAUUGAGUACAAAAGAAAUGCACCUUCACAGUAGACAACUUAUAACCUUUCGACAAGAAAUUGGGACUGCCUGCCAUUCAACCAUUGUACAUGUAUGAAUUUACCAGUCCUGUUGUGAGGAAACUUAUUUCAUCUUCUUUCAAGGGUCAUGUUAUUUAGGAUUUUAACUACUUGUCCUGCAUCACAAGCUUAAAAAGAUUUCACAAUCUGACUGCAGAUGGAACUGCAUGGUUUGAAAACCUCAUAGGAAUUCUGAGAAGCAUGGAGGCCUAUAAACCAGAUAAUGACAAGAUUUCAUAGUUCGAGGAGUACCAGGAAAAUUUACUAGCAGCAAAAUUGUACUUAAAGAGAGACUCACUCAAGCAUGAAUGUAUAAUUAUUACAAAGAUGCAGACCAUAUAUAUAUAUAUAUAUAUAUAUAUAUAUAUAUAUAUAUAUAUAUAUAUAUAGAAAGAGAGAGAGAGAGAGAGAGAAUUAUAUGGUGAUAUAAUUAAACUCAUUGUCUUCAAUGGGUAUGGCAUGUCAGUAGAGAAUCAUGAUUCAUAUGUUGAUAUUUUUCAAUUAUAUACUCGUUUCAGUGCAAUGGCAUUGUACAAAUAAAUAUUUUAAGUGUUGGUAGGGAAAGUGGUUGCUAUUGUGAUAUGUGUAAACAUAUUGCCUUCCAAGGGUAAGACAUGUUAGUAAAAAAAUACAUGUUGAUAUAUUUGUAUUAUAUUCUCAUUUGAAGGCAAUUGGAAUUGCACAGUUUGAAUUUUUUGCUUGUUACUAGAGAAAAUUGGUUGCUAUGGUGAUAUAGUUGAACCUGAUGUCUUCAUUGGAUUCAACAUAUCAGUAGAAAACCAUAUAUUGGUAUAUUUGUAUUAGGUUCUCAUUCCAGUGCAAUUUAAUGAUACAACUUUAAAUUUUAUAUGCGUUGCUAAGGAAAAUCAGUUGCUAUGGUGAUAUGGUUUAAGUCAAAUUUCUCCAAUUGGUCUGAAAUAUCAAUAAACUAAAGUGAACCCUGAUGAUUUGUAUUUAUUUUCAGUUAAUAGAAUAAUUUUAAUGCAUAUAUUGCAGAUAAUCUUGUUUUAUUUUGUUGGAAAUGGGCCUGAAAAAGUUGCCUAGCAACCGUUAAUAUGUGCAUUUCCGACUCUUUUGAUUUUUAUUUUGAGUACACUUAGUAUAGAUUGUUUAGAAAAUAUGUAUCAAAAUUUGGCACUUUCCAGAUAACUAAAGUAAUAUGUAUUUAAAAUACCUUAAAAUUGUCGAAUUUACAGAAAAUUUAUGAAUAUUAAAACAAGGCAUAUUCCAAAGUCCUCUACCAAUAUCAUAUAAGAGUAUUUCAUUAGUAUUGUACAUUUUUAUAUUGAAGUAACCUUUACCUCGCCUAAAUAAAUUAUCACUGUAUUUGAAAAAUCAUUAUUUUCAUUUUUAUGCAAAUUUUAAGAAGCAUGUAU
Molecule: long non-coding RNA, 5733 nt
Organism: Ostrea edulis (European flat oyster)
Lineage: Eukaryota; Metazoa; Mollusca; Bivalvia; Ostreida; Ostreidae
Exons: 8
Source: RefSeq, a predicted model, not a curated record